RNAcentral lists this ribosomal RNA (399 nucleotides) under uncultured bacterium. RNAcentral's name for it is "bacterial SSU rRNA". It matches the Rfam family "Bacterial small subunit ribosomal RNA", at positions 361 to 772 of the family's 1533-position model. The record is from RNAcentral.
AUAUUGGACAAUGGGCGAAAGCCUGAUCCAGCAACGCCGCGUGAGGGAUGACGGCCUUCGGGUUGUAAACCUCUUUCAGCUCUGACGAAGCGCAAGUGACGGUAGGAGCAGAAGAAGCACCGGCCACCUACGUGCCAGCAGCCGCGGUAAUACGUAGGGUGCGAGCGUUGUCCGGAAUUCUUGGGCGUAAAGGGCUCGUAGGCGGUUAGUCGCGUCGGGAGUGAAAACUCGGAGCUUAACUCCGAGCCUGCUUCCGAUACGGGCUGACUAGAGGUAUGCAGGGGAGAACGGAAUUCCUGGUGUAGCGGUGAAAUGCGCAGAUAUCAGGAGGAACACCGGUGGCGAAGGCGGUUCUCUGGGCAUUACCUGACGCUGAGGAGCGAAAGUGUGGGGAGCGAA